RNAcentral lists this ribosomal RNA (464 nucleotides) under uncultured bacterium. RNAcentral describes it as "bacterial SSU rRNA". It matches the Rfam family "Bacterial small subunit ribosomal RNA", at positions 25 to 518 of the family's 1533-position model. The record is from RNAcentral.
CAGAACGAACGCUGGCGGCAGGUCUUAGGCAUGCAAGUCGAACGGAUGACAAGAGAGCUUGCUCUCUUGAAGUCAGUGGCGCACGAGUGAGUAACGCGUGGGAAACUGCCCUUCACUGGGGAAUAACGUUUGGAAACGAACGCUAAUACCGCAUACGCCCGCAAGGGGAAAGAUUUAUCGGUGAUGGAUGUGCCCGCGUUGGAUUAGCCAGUUGGUGGGGUAAUGGCCUACCAAAGCAAUGAUCCAUAGCUGGUCUGAGAGGACGAUCAGCCACGCUGGAACUGAGACACGGUCCAGACUCCUACGGGAGGCAGCAGCUAAGAAUAUUGGGCAAUGGAGGAAACUCUGACCCAAGCCAUGCCGCGUGAAUGAAGAAGGCCUUCGGGUUGUAAAGUUCUUUUAGUCAUGAAGAUGAUGACAGUAGUGACAGAAAAAGCACCGGCUAACUUCGUGCCAGCCGCCGC